CUUUUUUUCCUUUGGGGUUGAAUUCUCUGGAACUUCUAACCGCGAUUCAGGAUUUGGGACGGAAAAAUUUCCUUUUCGAUCGCUCAACUUGAAAAUUUCUAAGCCAUUUAAGAUAGCAUUUUCAUACACAGCUUUUGUUUCCAUGUUAGGUCGCAAUUCAAGCGACACAUCUUUCUUGCCUCGUCGGCCAUCUGGAUCUCUCACAAACACCACGUAGUCUGUGUACAUCGGGACUCUCCAGCCGCGACUCCGUUGAAUCACAUCGACUAGUUGAUCUGCCGUUUGGUUUCCAAUGAGUAUAUCGAAAACCCGAUAGUUCUGUUCCUUAACUUCCAGCUGAAUCUCACAAAAAUGGAGCCUGAAAAGAUAGUAGAACCCAGCGUCAAGAGGAAAAAUCCAAUCCAGGCUCUGGCUGUAAUUGGCGAUGGUCCUAGAGGUUGUGUAAACUAUGUUUGGCGCCGUAUAAGCCGGGGUUUCAGAAGUGUAAUUAAUGUUGACAUCUAUAUGAGGAGUUUGAUAGUCAUAUCCAACAACAAAGUCUUCAUCUGAAUCCCAUACCCGAUACAUGCCUGUAUCCCCUGUGCUCGAAACCAAAUUGCCUCCCACGUUCAGCCUGUACACAUUUUCAAGAGCAGUGCUGUUAUUGAUGUAAUAAAGAUUAUACUGCCCCACCAAUAUGAUGCCACCACUAUCUUCACGGAGAUAAAGAUCAGUUGGCAUGGAAACAAUCUCGAUCCCAUUAACAAAAGCGUAAGAGUUCGGCGAAGGAGAAAAGGUUAUAUUGAGUAUCUGAGUUUCAUCAACAUUGAUGACAUAUUCUUUUUGAAUUUUUAAACUAGAAUCGGUACUUGCAGCGACCGUGAGGAAAGCGCUGAAGUUACUCAAGAGGGUAAACUGAUUAGCUGUUACAGAGAAAAAGGAUUCGGAUUUGUUGAAGCCAAGGUAUGUGGUGGGGUAAAAAUAGAGACGGAGGAAACUAGUGCCAGGAGGAACACGGAAAGGGUAGGUGAAUUUAGAUUUGAAAAUACGAGCAUUCGUAUAAGGGACUCUAGAAACUGAAGAGUCUUGUUCAGAGGCUGUGGCUGGUGAUGAUAUGGUUGAUGAAUUGGAAGGUAACAAAUUGGGAUAGUGGGUAUCAGUAUCCCAUCGACGGCCAUCUUCAUCAGUGGCGACUGAUGGUGCGCCACAGUUGAGCAAGAAAUAUACUGUGGCAUUAUACGAUGAAGGCGUGACAGAAAUAGUGGCCGUUAUGAGUUGUAAGAGGAGAAAUGAAAUCAAAGCAAUGGCAACCAUGGUUGUGGUGGUUAUGAAAGUAAAAUACUACUAUGGAUUUGGUGUGUAGAUAGAUAUUAGUUAGAUGAAGUAAUAAUUAUACUCAACAAUAGCAAAGACUUGAGGGUUGACUCUCAAGUCAUUUUUGCUACUGUAAUUCUUAAUUUUGUAUGGCUGAAAGCCGACGUAGACCGAAAUAGUGUCCUUUGUCAUCAUUCGUUUAUUUUACUUUUUUGUUCAAGUAUUGUACAAAAUGAAAUAGCCUAGUAUUCAGUCUUCCGUACUUCUUGUGUUAUUAUAUAAUACUUAGUCUUUUUUUAAUUCAUUUAAAAAAGAAUGUUAAAUUUUUUUUUUUUUUUUUUGCUAACUAUUUAAAGAUAGAAUUUCAUGUUUACUCUUAUUGAUCCCACUUAUAAUGACCGACUUAAUUAAAAAUAGUAGUAGUAUAUUUUUUUAAUAAAAGAUAAUUUGAUAAAAAUUCAUCAAGUCUUUUCUUAUUUAUUAAACUCUAUAGUCUAUAUCCAGUCAAACUAUGACACAUAAAAUAAAACGCAGAAAGCAUUAUUUUCCUUUAUAAGUACUCACUGUAGCCCAACUUUCAUGACAUCGAUAAACUUUGACAAAGUAUUUAAGAAAUAAAGAAAUACGUUGAAAAUUUAUAGUCUAAAAUAAAUAUUUUAUUAUAAAAAUGGAAGUUUAAAGUUAAUUUAUUUUUGUUUAUAGAAAUAUGGCAUUUUUUGGGGAUAAAUUAAAACAAAAUGAGUCAUAGAAGUUGGAAUAACGAGAGUAAUUAAUUGACAAGAAAAGAUCAAUAUAUUUCAUUUAAGAAAUGAGUUAACUUUAAAUUUUUAGUUUUAAUAAGUAAUUUAUAGUCAGACAAGAAAGCAAAUCAUUAUAUAUUAACAUUACCUACUAGUGACAAUCAAAACCUACCCAUCAAGGUGACUUUACUGUUUAAGUGCGCAAAGUUUAGUUACUUCAAUAUGAUUAAAUAAUAUACAAGUUUACUGUUAUACCGUAUAAAGUUCAGUGACUAUGAGUGAGAUUAAAUGUAUACCUGUAUGGAGAUAACACAAUCCUUUUGCUGCGCCAAUGCAAAUCUCAAGGCGUUUCCUCCAUGGAAGAGGAGCAUUAUCAGCUUUGUACAAGUGAUCACGGAGAGUUCCAUGAGCCAUGUAAUCAUAAACCAAAAUCAUCUCAUUGUUAUCAUCACAAUAACCAAUUAAGGAUACCAAAUGCAGAUGUCUUAGCUUUGAUAACAUGUGAAUCUCUGUCUCAAACUCGCGAACUCCUUGCUUUGAUGAAGGAUUCAAUCUCUUGAUUGCAACUGUGGUUGUGCCGUUGUCUAUGUACCCUUUGUACACAUUACCGAAACCUCCAUACCCAAUCACAAAAUUGUCAUCAAAAUUUCCUGUUGCAGCUUUUAUCUCCUCCAGUAAAAAGUGUCGAGGGUAAUGAUGAUGAGCCUGACCCGCUGGUCCUUUGGGUUGAGUUCGAUGUAAUUGAUAAAGGGAUCCACGAUGAUUUUGUAACGCUUGUAUGCAGAUCCUUUCCCUUUUUCCUCCGCUGGAAAAUCAAGAAACAUAGAAUUGACAACAGAGCAAUUCCACUAAUCACACCUGCUGUGAUAACAACAAAGACAUGCCAUUUCUUUUUCUUUUUUUCCUUUGGGGUUGAAUUCUCUGGAACUUCUAACCGCGAUUCAGGAUUUGGGACGGAAAAAUUUCCUUUUCGAUCGCUCAACUUGAAAAUUUCUAAGCCAUUUAAGAUAGCAUUUUCAUACACAGCUUUUGUUUCCAUGUUAGGUCGCAAUUCAAGCGACACAUCUUUCUUGCCUCGUCGGCCAUCUGGAUCUCUCACAAACACCACGUAGUCUGUGUACAUCGGGACUCUCCAGCCGCGACUCCGUUGAAUCACAUCGACUAGUUGAUCUGCCGUUUGGUUUCCAAUGAGUAUAUCGAAAACCCGAUAGUUCUGUUCCUUAACUUCCAGCUGAAUCUCACAAAAAUGGAGCCUGAAAAGAUAGUAGAACCCAGCGUCAAGAGGAAAAAUCCAAUCCAGGCUCUGGCUGUAAUUGGCGAUGGUCCUAGAG
This 3364-nucleotide long non-coding RNA is filed under the name Capsicum annuum. Its description in RNAcentral is "long non-coding RNA (CANN_LNC003781)". The record is from RNAcentral. Lineage: Eukaryota; Viridiplantae; Streptophyta; Magnoliopsida; Solanales; Solanaceae.